This is a long non-coding RNA of Peromyscus eremicus (cactus mouse), 1057 nucleotides long. RefSeq lists it as uncharacterized. The transcript has 3 exons. NCBI's taxonomy places the organism in Eukaryota, Metazoa, Chordata, Mammalia, Rodentia, Cricetidae. The record is from RefSeq and is a predicted model, not a curated record.
UCCAGGAGCCGGGCCUCGGCCUGCAGACCCCCACCCUCCCGAGGCCCCCCGCGGCUCCCUCGCGUCCCUUGGGGGGGCCACCGCCACGCCAGCAAGGCCUGGGAGGGGAAUCCCGGGAACACGGAAUACAAUGUGCCCAACUCCCGGCCUCUUUCACAUCGACCGAACGAAACAGCAAAAUGAGCCGUGAUUCUGUUGAUCAAUUACAAUCAGAGCGGUUGUAGAAGUGACACAUACAGGCGAGGAUGGGCAGAUGGGCGGGGAGAGAGAAAGAGCCCAAGAGGCGGAGCCUCGUGGGCAAGGCAGCGGCGGUGCCCAGAUGUCUGAACAGAUUAAUACAGCCAGGUUUGCUCCCUCCUUGGGGGCAGGCGAGCACGUGUGCUGCCAGUGUACCUUUACCUACUUAAUUAUUUCUGCCACCCUAGCGGGGAGCUAUGAAGCACUUCUCUCCGACACCCGCUGUCACAGUUAAUAUCCAAAGCACCUCCUGCAGGCACGACCCUCUAGAUGGGGCUGGUGAGCCCAUUCUGGGAGGGCCUACCACUGGGAAACCCGGUCUAGAUAGCAGCCCUUAGCCUGCCUCAUUCCCUGUCUCCAGGUUCCCUAACUGACCCUAUCGUCUACCUACGUAGCUUUAAGUAAGGGGCUCUGUCAGCUGCAAAUCUUCAAUCCAGACCUUUCUUCUGACCCAGACGCCAGCCAACUUGCCCUCUCCACUUGAAACCGAAACCUCAUAUAUCGGGCCUGCUCCUCACACAGCCUUCCCCCAACUCGGCUGACCCUUCUAGCUGCUCAUAAAAAGUUACUUCCUAAAUAUUUGGUCUUCAAAGUACGCCCAUAUCCCACUUUCUAACUUUGGAACCCGGUCCUGGAUGUUCUUCUGCAAGUGCUUUGUACAUAUGGACACUCAAUGUCUACUAUGUAUAGCUUACUCUGGACAAGAUUCUACUCUUUGGAAACAAGAUUCUAUUCCUUUGGAAACAAGAGUGCAGCAAAUAAGUUAAUUGCAGUGUAUUUAUGUAACUGAGAAAACCCAAAAAUAAUCUAAAUAACAAAA